CACUGGAACUGAGACACGGUCCAGACUCCUACGGGAGGCAGCAGUAGGGAAUCAUCCGCAAUGGGCGAAAGCCUGACGGUGCAACGCCGCGUGAACGAUGAAGGUCUUCGGAUUGUAAAGUUCUGUUGUUAGGGAAGAACAAGUGCCGUUCGAAUAGGUCGGCACCUUGACGGUACCUAACCAGAAAGCCCCGGCUAACUACGUGCCAGCAGCCGCGGUAAUACGUAGGGGGCAAGCGUUGUCCGGAAUUAUUGGGCGUAAAGCGCGCGCAGGCGGUCUCUUAAGUCUGAUGUGAAAGCCCACGGCUCAACCGUGGAGGGUCAUUGGAAACUGGGGGACUUGAGUGUAGGAGAGGAAAGUGGAAUUCCACGUGUAGCGGUGAAAUGCGUAGAUAUGUGGAGGA
This 403-nucleotide ribosomal RNA is filed under the name Pseudomonas sp. 2995-1. RNAcentral describes it as "bacterial SSU rRNA". It matches the Rfam family "Bacterial small subunit ribosomal RNA", at positions 311 to 705 of the family's 1533-position model. Lineage: Bacteria; Pseudomonadati; Pseudomonadota; Gammaproteobacteria; Pseudomonadales; Pseudomonadaceae. The record is from RNAcentral.